GACGAACGCUGGCGGCGCGCCUAACACAUGCAAGUCGAACGGAGCUGACUUAGUGGCGAACGGGUGAGUAACGCGUGAGUAACCUCGCCCUGGAGUGGGGGACAACAGUUGGAAACGACUGCUAAUACCGCAUAAGCCCACGGUCUCGCAUGGGACUGAGGGAAAAGGAUUUAUUCGCUUCAGGAUGGACUCGCGUCCAAUUAGCUAGUUGGCGAGGUAACGGCCCACCAAGGCGACGAUUGGUAGCCGGACUGAGAGGUUGAACGGCCACAUUGGGACUGAGACACGGCCCAGACUCCUACGGGAGGCAGCAGUGGGGGAUAUUGCACAAUGGGGGAAACCCUGAUGCAGCGACGCCGCGUGGAGGAAGAAGGUUUUCGGAUUGUAAACUCCUGUCGUUAGGGACGAUAAUGACGGUACCUAACAAGAAAGCACCGGCUAACUACGUGCCAGCAGCCGCGUAAAACGCAGGGUGCAAGCGUUGUCCGGAAUUACUGGGUGUAAAAGGGAGCGCAGGCGGACCGGCAAAGUUGGAAGUGAAAACCAUAGGCUCAACCUAUGGAUGCUUUUCAAAACUGCUGGCCUUGAGUAGUGCAGAGGUAGGUGGAAUUCCCGGUGUAGCGGUGGAAUGCGUAGAUAUCGGGAGGAACACCAGUGGCGAAGGCGACCUACUGGGCACCAACUGACGCUGAGGCUCGAAAGCAUGGGUAGCAAACAGGAUUAGAUACCCUGGUAGUCCAUGCCGUAAACGAUGAUUACUAGGUGUUGGAGGAUUGACCCCUUCAGUGCCGCAGUUAACACAAUAAGUAAUCCACCUGGGGAGUACGACCGCAAGGUUGAAACUCAAAGGAAUUGACGGGGGCCCGCACAAGCAGUGGAGUAUGUGGUUUAAUUCGAAGCAACGCGAAGAACCUUACCAGGUCUUGACAUCCGAUGCAUAGUGCAGAGAUGCAUGAAGUCCUUCGGGACAUCGAGACAGGUGGUGCAUGGUUGUCGUCAGCUCGUGUCGUGAGAUGUUGGGUUAAGUCCCGCAACGAGCGCAACCCUUAUUGCCAGUUACUACGAAAGAGGACUCUGGCGAGACUGCCGUUGACAAAACGGAGGAAGGUGGGGAUGACGUCAAAUCAUCAUGCCCUUUAUGACCUGGGCUACACACGUACUACAAUGGCGUUUAACAAAGAGAAGCAAGACCGCGAGGUGGAGCAAAACUCAAAAACAACGUCUCAGUUCAGAUUGCAGGCUGCAACUCGCCUGCAUGAAGUCGGAAUUGCUAGUAAUCGCGGAUCAGCAUGCCGCGGUGAAAUACGUUCCCGGGCCU
Molecule: ribosomal RNA, 1318 nt
Filed under: uncultured bacterium
Lineage: Bacteria
Description: bacterial SSU rRNA
Rfam family: Bacterial small subunit ribosomal RNA
Source: RNAcentral